UACAGAGGUGGCAAGCGUUGUUCGGAAUUACUGGGCGUAAAGGGCGCGUAGGCGGCCAUCUAAGUCAGACGUGAAAUCCCCCGGCUUAACCUGGGAACUGCGUCUGAUACUGGACGGCUUGAGUAUGGGAGAGGGAUGUAGAAUUCCAGGUGUAGCGGUGAAAUGCGUAGAUAUCAGGAGGAACACCGGUGGCGAAGGCGGGUCUCUGGGCCGAUACUGACGCUGAGGAGCGAAAGCGUGGGGAGCAAACAGG
This 253-nucleotide ribosomal RNA is filed under the name uncultured bacterium. RNAcentral describes it as "partial 16S ribosomal RNA". It matches the Rfam family "Bacterial small subunit ribosomal RNA", at positions 524 to 776 of the family's 1533-position model. The record is from RNAcentral.